Molecule: non-coding RNA, 1619 nt
Organism: Myodes glareolus (Bank vole)
Lineage: Eukaryota; Metazoa; Chordata; Mammalia; Rodentia; Cricetidae
Source: RefSeq, a predicted model, not a curated record
UUUACCAACGAAGUACACAGCAGCCCUAUCAAAGAACUUGAAAUUGGGGUCCCUAGCUUUAAGUCAGGGGUGCUCUGUUUCUCUGGGAUUCGCCUCAAGGCUUUUCAGCCUUUCUAGGCGAUAACCUCUCAAAAAUCGGAGACAUUCUAGCGUCCAGUCUCAGGUUUGGGGCCAUGAUGACUCAACGCAGCAUCCCCUCCCCGUGACAAACAGCGGUCUCCGCCUAUCCCCAAUCAAUCUCAACCAGGCACUCUGGGCGCCAGGAUUCCCAGUACUUAGCUGGUGGGUAAAGGGGCUCAUCCCCUUCCCCAUAACCCAGAAGGUUAGACGUCCCCUCCACCCAGUUUUCUGGAGUGCGGAGCUCUCGCCAGGAUUCUGCUCUCGGAAGGUUUAGAAGGAUGUAACCUCCAGACCGGGAAUUUAAGACGCAAGAACCAGCCAGCAAAUGUGGCAGCCUAGCUUUCAAACGAGACCUUAAGGUUCAUCCACCUGCCGAGCCUCUGGUGAGCCCCCUGCCCUGUGCCUGGUGCUACACUAGAAGCUGGGGUCAAGGCAGCAGCAAGACCUUCAAGGCACUCAGAUCUGAAGUCUGCUUGAAAGCUGAACCAUGCCACAGCCAUGUUCUAUUUCCCUCCAGCUAGGAUUUUCAUUUUAUCUCUCUCCUCCAAUAAGACUGGGACCUGCUCACAUCCCUCUGCAUCCUAAGAGCAUGUUCUUCCAUGGAAGGCAUGUUACGGAAUGGGAUGUAUCACUGGAGACGCAGAGGAAGGUGAUGGCUGCAGAAGAAAUAACCAGUGGGAUAGUUGGAGGCUAUAAAACCCGGUAUUUCACCGAAUAGGAGAGACUGAUGGAGCCAAGAAGCCAACAAAAUGGAGGAGAAGCUCCAGCAUUCCUUCUGAAGAUUCUCAAGGGAGCCUUUGUUCCAAGAUGAGAUGGGUACCAGUGAGUUAUGUUCAUUUAGUUCAGAAGAGGUAAUUCUGAGAUCCGGAGGAGGACCUCCAAACCUGGACUAUCCGACACUACUGUGUUAUUUCCUGACAUUGCCUCCUUGAGGAAGCCUACAGCUAUUCUGUUUGACAGAAUGAGAAGACAAGGAACUCAUUCCUGUCAAUCCAUCUUGGGAUUCCUGGACAGCUUAAGAAGCGUCAUUGAUUGGAUCUUUGGUGCUGAGGAGGAAAUGGCCAUCCACAGAGACAAACCACUGAACGGCACUUAGUGCUCAUGCCAACCUGACAUGGGCAGUGAUGGUUCCUGACAGAGCCCUUUCUGGAAACUAUCCCUUCACACACAUAGCCCCUACUUCCUUCUUUAAGUAGCCACACAGAGGUGUGUCUGUUAGAAGAUUGCAGGGGAGAAUAACUAGAUAGUGGCGGGGAAAGCCUUUGGGAAACUGAUUUCUUCUGCUUUUCUGGUUAUCCCUCUAGACAGGCAAUAUUUUUGUUGAAUGGAUACAAUCAGUGGUUUCUUGGAUUUGGAGGACAUAAAAUGAUGUGACUUAGGCUCAUUGGCACAUUGAUGUAUGGCACAAAUAAUAAAAACCCAGAGACAUAUUGGGGUUCAAGCUGAAGAUCAGGAAAGCAAAGCAGCUAACCACUAGGGAGACCUUUUACCUCUACCAA